Molecule: long non-coding RNA, 536 nt
Organism: Raphanus sativus (radish)
Lineage: Eukaryota; Viridiplantae; Streptophyta; Magnoliopsida; Brassicales; Brassicaceae
Exons: 2
Source: RefSeq, a predicted model, not a curated record
GCACUAUUGAUAUUUCUAAACCCCAAUAUUGUCCCUACCCUUGCUCUUGUCCCUGCCCAUGCCCUGCCUGCCCAAACUCUCUUCUAACUUCUCUCUCUCGUAUCUACCCAAACUCCCUUCUUCUUUCUCUCUUCUUUUUUGAACAACCCUUCUUCCUUCUCUCCCUGUAUUUCUUUAUAACUUUAUCUCUUACCCAAAUAAUAUUAUUCAUUCUCUUUUUGUAUUAUUUCUAAUCUCUUGCACAAAACAAAUGGAUUCUUUUUCUAUUUCCACUAUUGUGGAUGCAAAGAAUAUUAUCUUCUUGAGGAGUUCAUCUACACUAGUCUUCAUGUCAAUUUGUUUGAUGUUGACCACGAUUUUGAAGGUUUCAGUAUACAUGGCACUUCAACCAUCAAUGUUAUUGAUGUGCGAUGGUGAAGAUGACGAGUUGGAGAGGAGGAGAUUAGUUAAAAACAUAGCUGAUGAUGAUUAAUGGGAUUCAAAAAGAAGAUGAAUUAUUUGAAGAAUUCACUAUGGAUUAGAAAAUAAGUGAAAGA